Small nuclear RNA from Manis pentadactyla (Chinese pangolin), 106 nucleotides. The record is from RefSeq and is a predicted model, not a curated record. NCBI's taxonomy places the organism in Eukaryota, Metazoa, Chordata, Mammalia, Pholidota, Manidae.
GUGCUCGCUUCCGCAGCACAUAACUAAAACUGGAACAAAACAGAGGAGAUUAGCAUGGCCCCUGCACAAGGAUAACAUGCAAAUUUGUGAAGCAUUCCAUAUUAAA